RNAcentral lists this ribosomal RNA (453 nucleotides) under uncultured Microgenomates group bacterium. Its description in RNAcentral is "bacterial SSU rRNA". It matches the Rfam family "Bacterial small subunit ribosomal RNA", at positions 1004 to 1480 of the family's 1533-position model. The record is from RNAcentral.
AACUUUCGGGGAUCCGCAAGGAUGGUAGCACAGGUGCUGCAUGGCUGUCGUCAGCUCGUUCCGUGAGGAGUGCCCUUAAGUGGGACAACGAGCGCAACCCCCGUUCUGUGUUAGAAAUGUCACAGAAGACAGCCCCUCCAAUUCGGAGGGGAGGAAGGAGGGGUAGACGUCAAGUCAGCAUGGCCCUUAUGCCCUGGGCUACACACAUGUUACAAUGGAAAGGACAGCGGGCUUUGCCACACCGUAAGGUGGAGCGAAUCCCUCAAACCUUCCCCAAGUUGGGAUUGAGGUCUGCAACUCGACCUCAUGAACGCGGAAUUGGUAGUAAUCGCGGAUCAGUCAUGCCGCGGUGAAUACGUUCUUGNNNCUUGCACACACCGCCCGUCAAGCCAACAAAGUCGGGGAUGGUUGAACUCCGCCUGUGGCGGGGGAAAUCAUUCCCGGCGAUGGGGG